GAUUGGAUGGCCGAGUGGUCUAAGGCGCUACCUUAAGGCGGUAGUCUUCGGGCGCGGGUUCGAAUCCCGUUUCAAUCA
Molecule: transfer RNA, 78 nt
Filed under: Ecytonucleospora hepatopenaei
Lineage: Eukaryota; Fungi; Microsporidia; Enterocytozoonidae
Description: Enterocytozoon sp. ST-2009a tRNA
Rfam family: tRNA
About the family: Transfer RNA (tRNA) molecules are approximately 80 nucleotides in length. Their secondary structure includes four short double-helical elements and three loops (D, anti-codon, and T loops).
Source: Rfam by way of RNAcentral